AGGACGAACGCUGGCGGCGUGCCUAAUACAUGCAAGUCUAAGGGGUCUAUUCCUUUCGGGGAAUAGAUCACUGGCGCACGGGUGAGUAACGCGUAAGUAAUCUGCCCUUGGGUCUGGCAUAACCUCGGGAAACCGGGACUAAUUCCAGAUGAUAUCGAAAGAUACAAAGAAUUUCGCCCAGGGAUGAGCUUGCGUCUGAUUAGCUAGUUGGCGGGGUAAUGGCCCACCAAGGCGACGAUCAGUAGCCGGUCUGAGAGGAUGAUCAGUCACACCGGAACUGAGACACGGUCCGACUCCGUAGGGAGCAGGCAGGUGGGGAAUAGUUAGGACAAGUGGGCGACAAGCCUGACUCCAGCAAUGACCGGCGUGUGUGAAGAGGUCCGUUCGGGUUAGUAAAGU
RNAcentral lists this ribosomal RNA (399 nucleotides) under uncultured soil bacterium. RNAcentral's name for it is "bacterial SSU rRNA". It matches the Rfam family "Bacterial small subunit ribosomal RNA", at positions 26 to 431 of the family's 1533-position model. The record is from RNAcentral.